CUGGGUUUCUCAGGCAUGGCUAAUUCCUAAACGGAUCGUGAAACUGAUGACAGUCACCUUAAGCGGCUCUCUCAAGCCAAUCUGUGCAGCCAGACCCCAGGGCUAGGCGUCAGCGGAGCCGGAGGCAGUGUCUACUUAUCCCGACACCCCUCCGGCCACUCCAGGCGCAGCCACCCAGAAAUCGCGGGGAGAAGCGGCGGGAGGGCGCUCCGACACUCUGCGAGCUGUGAACACGCUGCGGCGCGAAGUUGCACAGGUUUAAAUCCAGUAGGCACCGCCGCUAAGCUCCCGCGGCCGCGUAGGUGGCCAACCGCUCCGCGCGCUUUCCGAAGCGGCCAGGCUCCGAGACUGGAGCAAAGACGCCAGCGGCGCAGCCAUUUGGUUCCCGACGCCGCGGAGACCGGGACGCCUCCGGCCUGGGGAUGGCACCGGAGCCGACCCGGACCCAGUGGCUCCCAGGAACCCCGCGGGUCCCCCCGCCUUCCUCCCCCAUAUCCCCAGAAGGCGGCCGCAGCACCCCAGGGCCGGGGAGCCCCAAGGGCACUGGGCCACUCAGGACGUCGCGGCCGGUCCAGGAGCAGGAAGUUCCAGAGGGAGAGCGGCGGGCCGAGGAGGUGGCAGGGAAGGCGGCGGCGGAGGCGCACAGUGCGCUGGAACAGGUUGUCGGUGCGGCGCCCCAGGGCCAGCAGGUGCCCCUCGAGGUCCUCGAGCAGAGCCAGCGAGUGGCCGCAGAGGUCGGCGAGCUGCCGGAGCAGGCUGAGCGCGGCCAGGUGGCUCACGUCGCGGAGCUCGUUACAGAGAGAGAGAGAGAGGCAGAGACACAGGCAGAGGGAGAAGCAGGCUCCAUGCACC
Molecule: long non-coding RNA, 852 nt
Organism: Canis lupus familiaris (dog)
Lineage: Eukaryota; Metazoa; Chordata; Mammalia; Carnivora; Canidae
Exons: 3
Source: RefSeq, a predicted model, not a curated record